Molecule: long non-coding RNA, 1124 nt
Filed under: Capra hircus (goat)
Lineage: Eukaryota; Metazoa; Chordata; Mammalia; Artiodactyla; Bovidae
Description: lncRNA (ENSCHIG00010005670.1)
Source: RNAcentral
AGAGUUGGACACGACUGAGCGACUGAACUGAACUGAAAUUGGCCUGCGUGACAUGGAUUGUAUCUGUUACUGUGUCCUGGGACUCUAGGAGAAGAUCGAGGAAGCAGUGGGGCAGAGCACAGAGGAGCAGUUGAUAUAAUAGAAACCUGCAUUUUAUUCACCUUUGUUCUCUUAUACUCAUGUUAACAAAAGCAGGCAGAUACAUGGAAUAGCACUUUUCAGUGAGACUCUGCCAGAUGGAUGUAGGGCUUGGUAAAGGGACCUUAGUAGGAGAUACUUGAAUGUCCAGAGAGAUGGAGCAGAAACUAAAUGAAUUAUCUGUGGUUUUCACUGUGCAGUACAAGUACAGAUUUUCAGAUAUAGUCUAAGGUUAGAGACUAAUAUAUUCUAAAAAUCUGCAGAAUAGUUGGUCAGUAACAGAUAGAAAUCAAGUUCCAUGAGGCUAGUAUUGAGUAGAAUUGAGUAACUUUAAAGUGAGAGUUAAAAUUUGCAAUCUAAAUUUUGUUAUCAUGGGAAAUAUAAUGAUUAUGAUUGAACAUAUCAGUACGGAUGUGCAAAAUCCUGUGUGAGCUUUUCUAAGCUUUUACAUGAAAAGUAUAUAAAUUGGAUUUUUAUUAUUUAGCCAUGGAUAAACCAAAAGCUAAACAGAGAUUAGGUUUCAUUCUCUAGAUUUGGCUAGUAGAUUACUGGACUUUGUUGUUCAAUGUGGAUAAAAUAAGUUGAUGGGGGCAUUGGUGAUACAGACAAUUUUAGUGGGAGCUAAAGAACCUGAGAAGAUGAUUUCCUUGCCUGAAGUGUCUGCCCUUCAGUCUCCUCUAUGUCUCUCAUUCAUUCUACGCUCCAGUCACAACAAUUACUCACCCUUCCAUAAACAGACUUGUGCUCUGAAAGGGACAAAAGAAGCACGAGGAUAUGUUUGACUGAUUAGCUCUCUCUUUGCUUUGUUUCUCUUUUUUCUAUGAAUCUCAACCACUCCAGUCUCUGAUGAUCAUUCUUGAAUCUGUUUCCUCACCUCUCCCUCUCUUUCAUGUUUCAGUUCCCAAUUCUCUCUUCCAGUUCCGUCACACACCUCAAACACAACAUAUUUAACAUCAGUUUAGUUUUUUUUCUCUGCUUCAUCACCU